AUGGCGGGAGCAGUGCCUCUGGCGCCGCCGAUGGUGGCCGCGGCGAGGCCGGCGGCGGGCUCGCUCUACGAAGCGCUGCGCGUGGGCCGCGCGGCGACGCAGGUGGAGAUCAGGACCGCGUACCGCUCCAUGGCCAAGCGCCUCCACCCCGACGUCGCCUCCUGCGGCCACGGGGGCCCCGAGGCGUUCCUGGAGAUCCGGAGGGCGUACGAGACGCUGUCGGACCCGGCGGCCAGGGCGCGCUACGACUGCUCGCUCGGGGUGUUCCGCGGUGGGGGCGCCGGCGGCGUGAUGCGGGUGCGGAGGUGGGAGACGGACCAGUGCUGGUGA
Molecule: ribosomal RNA, 330 nt
Filed under: Triticum aestivum (bread wheat)
Lineage: Eukaryota; Viridiplantae; Streptophyta; Magnoliopsida; Poales; Poaceae
Description: partial small subunit ribosomal RNA
Source: RNAcentral